AGUCUUAUAGUUAAUCUAUAACGUUAAAUUGCAAAUUUAAAAUUGGGACGCCCUAAGGCUU
RNAcentral lists this transfer RNA (61 nucleotides) under Nudobius lentus. Its description in RNAcentral is "tRNA-Cys". Lineage: Eukaryota; Metazoa; Arthropoda; Insecta; Coleoptera; Staphylinidae. The record is from RNAcentral.